UCGAACGAACUCUGGUAUUGAGUGGUGCUUGCAUCAUGAUUUACAUUUGAGUGAGUGGCGAACUGGUGAGUAACACGUGAGAUACCUGCCCAGAAGCGGGGGAUAACACCUGGAAACAGAUGUUAAUACCGCAUAACAACUUGGACCGCAUGGUCCGAGUUUGAAAGAUGGCUUCGGCUAUCACUUUUGGAUGGUCCCGCGGCGUAUUAGCUAGAUGGUGGGGUAACGGCUCACCAUGGCAAUGAUACGUAGCCGACCUGAGAGGGUAAUCGGCCACAUUGGGACUGAGACACGGCCCAAACUCCUACGGGAGGCAGCAGUAGGGAAUCUUCCACAAUGGACGAAAGUCUGAUGGAGCAACGCCGCGUGAGUGAAGAAGGGUUUCGGCUCGUAAAACUCUGUUGUUAAAGAAGAACAUAUCUGAGAGUAACUGUUCAGGUAUUGACGGUAUUUAACCAGAAAGCCACGGCUAACUACGUGCCAGCAGCCGCGGUAAUACGUAGGUGGCAAGCGUUGUCCGGAUUUAUUGGGCGUAAAGCGAGCGCAGGCGGUUUUUUAAGUCUGAUGUGAAAGCCUUCGGCUCAACCGAAGAAGUGCAUCGGAAACUGGGAAACUUGAGUGCAGAAGAGGACAGUGGAACUCCAUGUGUAGCGGUGAAAUGCGUAGAUAUAUGGAAGAACACCAGUGGCGAAGGCGGCUGUCUGGUCUGUAACUGACGCUGAGGCUCGAAAGUAUGGGUAGCAAACAGGAUUAGAUACCCUGGUAGUCCAUACCGUAAACGAUGAAUGCUAAGUGUUGGAGGGUUUCCGCCCUUCAGUGCUGCAGCUAACGCAUUAAGCAUUCCGCCUGGGGAGUACGGCCGCAAGGCUGAAACUCAAAGGAAUUGACGGGGGCCCGCACAAGCGGUGGAGCAUGUGGUUUAAUUCGAAGCUACGCGAAGAACCUUACCAGGUCUUGACAUACUAUGCAAAUCUAAGAGAUUAGACGUUCCCUUCGGGGACAUGGAUACAGGUGGUGCAUGGUUGUCGUCAGCUCGUGUCGUGAGAUGUUGGGUUAAGUCCCGCAACGAGCGCAACCCUUAUUAUCAGUUGCCAGCAUUAAGUUGGGCACUCUGGUGAGACUGCCGGUGACAAACCGGAGGAAGGUGGGGAUGACGUCAAAUCAUCAUGCCCCUUAUGACCUGGGCUACACACGUGCUACAAUGGAUGGUACAACGAGUUGCGAACUCGCGAGAGUAAGCUAAUCUCUUAAAGCCAUUCUCAGUUCGGAUUGUAGGCUGCAACUCGCCUACAUGAAGUCGGAAUCGCUAGUAAUCGCGGAUCAGCAUGCCGCGGUGAAUACGUUCCCGGGCCUUGUACACACCGCCCGUCACACCAUGAGAGUUUGUAACACCCAAAGUCCGUGGGGUAACCUUUUAGGAACCAGCCGCCUAAGGUGGGACAGAUGAUUAGGGUGAAGUCGUACGGGGGUAACCGACCGGUUUGCUACCCAUACUUUCGAGCCUCAGCGUCUGUUACAGA
RNAcentral lists this ribosomal RNA (1520 nucleotides) under Lactiplantibacillus paraplantarum. RNAcentral describes it as "bacterial SSU rRNA". It matches the Rfam family "Bacterial small subunit ribosomal RNA". The record is from RNAcentral. Lineage: Bacteria; Bacillati; Bacillota; Bacilli; Lactobacillales; Lactobacillaceae.